RNAcentral lists this ribosomal RNA (432 nucleotides) under uncultured bacterium. RNAcentral describes it as "bacterial SSU rRNA". It matches the Rfam family "Bacterial small subunit ribosomal RNA", at positions 29 to 507 of the family's 1533-position model. The record is from RNAcentral.
AACGAACGCUGGCGGCAGGCCUAACACAUGCAAGUCGAGCGCCCCGCAAGGGGGAGCGGCGGACGGGUGAGUAACGCGUGGGAACGUACCCUUUGCUACGGAAUAGCCUCGGGAAACUGGGAGUAAUACCGUAUGUGCCCUUCGGGGGAAAGAUUUAUCGGGGAUGGAUGAGCCCGCGUUGGAUUAGCUAGUUGGUGGGGUAAUGGCCUACCAAGGCGACGAUCCAUAGCUGGUCUGAGAGGAUGAUCAGCCACACUGGGACUGAGACACGGCCCAGACUCCUACGGGAGGCAGCAGUGGGGAAUAUUGGACAAUGGGCGCAAGCCUGAUCCAGCCAUGCCGCGUGAGUGAUGAAGGCCCUAGGGUUGUAAAGCUCUUUCACCGGUGAAGAUAAUGACGGUAACCGGAGAAGAAGCCCCGGCUAACUUCGUG